UACGGACGGGGCAAGCGUUGUUCGGAAUCAUUGGGCGUAAAGGGCGCGCAGGUGGCUCUGUAUGUCUGCCGUGAAAGCAUACAGCUCAACUGUAUUGUGUCGGUAGAAACUGCAGGACUUGAGGCUGGGAGGGGCUGGUGGAAUUCCCUGUGUAGCGGUGAAAUGCGUAGAGAUGGGGGAGAACACUCGUGGCGAAGGCGGCCAGCUAGACCAGUUCUGACACUGAGGCGCGACAGCGUGGGGAGCGAACAGG
Molecule: ribosomal RNA, 253 nt
Filed under: uncultured bacterium
Lineage: Bacteria
Description: partial 16S ribosomal RNA
Rfam family: Bacterial small subunit ribosomal RNA
Source: RNAcentral